RNAcentral lists this ribosomal RNA (203 nucleotides) under uncultured bacterium. RNAcentral describes it as "partial 16S ribosomal RNA". It matches the Rfam family "Bacterial small subunit ribosomal RNA", at positions 28 to 232 of the family's 1533-position model. The record is from RNAcentral.
GACGAACGCUGGCGGCGUGCUUAACACAUGCAAGUCGAGCGGUAAGGCCCUUCGGGUACGACGAGCGGCGAACGGGUAGAGUAACACGUGGGUGACCUGCCUCUAGCUCUGGGAUAAGCCUGGGAAACUGGGUCUAAUACCGGAUAUGACUCCACGGCGCAUGUUGUGGGGUAGGAAAGCCUUGUGUGGCUAGAGAUGGGCCC